CUUUUAUUUAAAAAGGGAUUAACAAAAUUUUAUAUAUUAUAUGCAAAGGAGAAAAAAUAUGGCUCAAAAUUACAUGUUGAUUUAUGCUAUGAUCAUAUGUCUUUUCCCAUAUCUUGUAGUAACCACCAAGACUGCAAUUGCCUGCGUUACUAACAAAGAUUGUCUAAAGUUUUUUACACCUCUUGAUAAUGUGAAGUGCGUUGGUAAUGUUUGUGAGUUCUUCUUGUAAGGGUAUAAUUGUAUUUGUACUUUUAUAGUUUACUUUAAAAUUUAAUUUAUAUUUCUCUAGCCUUUCAAUUUUUAUAACAAAGCUCUACAAUGCAUCAUUAUAUUAUGUUAGUAUAUGUACCUUAGUUUUCUCAUAGAAGAAAUCACAAACAACACCGUCCCUAUACAUAAUAUAUAGUAAUAAUAAGAUACUAUAAUAAAGUAUCUUAUUAAAGCAUUUCUUCCAUUAUGUA
Molecule: long non-coding RNA, 461 nt
Organism: Medicago truncatula (barrel medic)
Lineage: Eukaryota; Viridiplantae; Streptophyta; Magnoliopsida; Fabales; Fabaceae
Exons: 2
Source: RefSeq, a predicted model, not a curated record